This 1396-nucleotide ribosomal RNA is filed under the name uncultured bacterium. RNAcentral's name for it is "bacterial SSU rRNA". It matches the Rfam family "Bacterial small subunit ribosomal RNA". The record is from RNAcentral.
UUUGAUCAUGGCUCAGGACGAACGCUGGCGGCGUGCCUAAUACAUGCAAGUCGAACGAGAGCGACCGGUGCUUGCACUGGUCAAUCUAGUGGCGAACGGGUGAGUAACACGUGGGUAACCUGCCCAUCAGAGGGGGAUAACAUCCGGAAACGGAUGCUAAAACCGCAUAGGUCUUCGAGCCGCAUGGCUUGAAGAGGAAAAGAGGCGCAAGCUUCUGCUGAUGGAUGGACCCGCGGUGCAUUAGCUAGUUGGUGAGGUAACGGCUCACCAAGGCCGUGAUGCAUAGCCGACCUGAGAGGGUGAUCGGCCACAUUGGGACUGAGACACGGCCCAAACUCCUACGGGAGGCAGCAGUGAGGAAUAUUGGUCAAUGGACGUAAGUCUGAACCAGCCAAGUAGCGUGCAGGAUGACGGCCCUAUGGGUUGUAAACUGCUUUUAUGUGGGAAUAAAGUGGCGCACGUGUGCGCCAUUGCAUGUACCUCAUGAAUAAGGACCGGCUAAUUCCGUGCCAGCAGCCGCGGUAAUACGGAAGGUCCGGGCGUUAUCCAGAUUUAUUGGGUUUAAAGGGAGUGUAGGCGGUCUGUUAAGCGUGUUGUGAAAUUUAGGUGCUCAACAUUUAACUUGCAGCGCGAACUGUCAGACUUGAGUACACGCAGCGCAGGCGGAAUUCAUGGUGUAGCGGUGAAAUGCUUAGAUAUCAUGAGGAACUCCGAUCGCGAAGGCAGCCUGCGGGAGUGUUACUGACGCUUAAGCUCGAAGGUGCGGGUAUCGAACAGGAUUAGAUACCCUGGUAGUCCGCACUGUAAACGAUGGAUGCCCGCCGUUGGCGCCCUGCGCCUGCGGCCAAGCGAAAGCAUUAAGCAUUCCACCUGGGGAGUACGCCGGCAACGGUGAAACUCAAAGGAAUUGACGGGGGCCCGCACAAGCGGAGGAACAUGUGGUUUAAUUCGAUGAUACGCGAGGAACCUUACCCGGGCUUGAAUUGCAGUCGCUGCCUACAGAGACGUAGGCUUCCCUUCGGGGCGUCUGUGAAGGUGCUGCAUGGUUGUCGUCAGCUCGUGCCGUGAGGUGUCGGCUUAAGUGCCAUAACGAGCGCAACCCCCUUUCCCAGUUGCCAUCGGGUGAUGCCGGGCACUCUGGGGACACUGCCACCGCAAGGUGCGAGGAAGGUGGGGAUGACGUCAAAUCAGCACGGCCCUUACGUCCGGGGCUACACACGUGUUACAAUGGCCGGUACAGAGGGACGGUGCAAUGCAAGUUGCAUCCAAUCUUGAAAUCCGGUCCCAGUUCGGACUGGGGUCUGCAACCCGACCCCACGAAGCUGGAUUCGCUAGUAAUCGCGCAUCAGCCAUGGCGCGGUGAAUACGUUCCCGGGCCUUGUACACACCGCCCGUC